GUGUUUUAUUUUUUUUUCGUUAGCAAUUACUGUCUGGGAUCAAACAGCACUUCACCCACUGGGCUGUGCUCUGCUGGAUAUUACUGCACCGGCGGCUCUGCAUCUCCUGUUCAGCAUCAGGCUGAGGAAGGUCACUACUCUCUAGAGGGAGCUGUCAAGGCUGAACCCUGCCCUUUAGGCACUUUUCAACCUGGAAGAGGCCAAAGCUCAUGUAUUGAGUGCCAGCCGGGUCGACUGUGCAACACGACGGGUCUGUCCCAGCAGCCUCUCUGCCCAUCAGGACAUUACUGCCCAGCUGGAUCUUUAAUCGCACACCCGUGUCCUCCUGGUACCUACACGUCUAAUGCAGGAGCAGAGAAGGUGCAGCACUGUGGUCCAUGUGAUGCUGGGCAGUACUGUCACUCUCCUGGUCUCUCGGCUCCUGAGGGACUCUGUGAGUCUGGAUUCUACUGCAGCGGAGGAGCCAUCACUGCCACGCCAGUGAACUUCAGGUCUGGAGAUGUGUGUCCUGCAGGAUAUUACUGCCCUGAGGGCACCAGGCACCCCCGUCAGUACCCCUGUC
RNAcentral lists this long non-coding RNA (562 nucleotides) under Astyanax mexicanus (Mexican tetra). RNAcentral's name for it is "lncRNA (ENSAMXG00005007584.1)". Lineage: Eukaryota; Metazoa; Chordata; Actinopteri; Characiformes; Acestrorhamphidae. The record is from RNAcentral.